AUGUGGGUUGGUAAGGGAAGCUUGGCAUGGGCGACGGUCGACGGCGUUGCCGGUGGGGGCGACGUCGGCAGGGGCGGCGGCGACGGGGUUGGGCUCCUGGAGAGGGAUGGGCAGAGAGAGAGAGUGAGAGACAGCGAGAUAGAGAGAGAAAAAGAGAGAGAGCGAAGAAGGAGGGAGAGGUGUCCGGGUCAGGGGGGAGUGCGGGUAUACCUAAUGAAGACGGUGAAUCGUUCACCGUCUUCAUUAGGCGGUGAACAAUUCACCGUCUUACAUUGGGAGCGCGGGGGUUGGGUUUACACUAAAGGCGGUGAACGAUUCACCGUCUUUAGUGCAAACUGAUAAGACAGUGAAUGGUUCACCGUCUUAUCAAUAUUUUAGCCCCGACUCCAGGACUUGGCUA
RNAcentral lists this long non-coding RNA (400 nucleotides) under Ananas comosus (pineapple). RNAcentral describes it as "long non-coding RNA (ACOM_LNC023113)". Lineage: Eukaryota; Viridiplantae; Streptophyta; Magnoliopsida; Poales; Bromeliaceae. The record is from RNAcentral.